GUCUCUUCAGACCGGCGCUCGACUUGAUUGGAGACGAAGCUUGCAGCUGCUUUCUCUGACGUAUUUCCUUCAACUGGGAGAGUCAGUUUGGGUGAUUUUACAGAAAGUACCGAAAAAAUAGAAGAGAGACAUGUGGUUCUUACACAAUACAGUGCAAGAGCUCUUUUCUGUUAACUAUUUGGGUAGCCAAGUGGUGACUAGAAAGAAGAUCCUCUUCAACAUGUGAACUGUGCACCUCAUGCACAAAGCCAGUUAUCAUUUUAAUACCAGCAAGAUAGCCGCCCCUUUAUCUGAUUUAACUCACAAAAGAACGACUGAGAAGAUCCAAUG
Molecule: non-coding RNA, 330 nt
Organism: Pogona vitticeps (central bearded dragon)
Lineage: Eukaryota; Metazoa; Chordata; Lepidosauria; Squamata; Agamidae
Source: RefSeq, a predicted model, not a curated record